UCUGUAAUCAGGCAGGGAUUAGUCACCACCAGCCAAUUACCAAGCUCAGCUUCCCAAAGCAAUUUGUCUGUGGGGAAAUUUAUAAAUCCUGGUUAACUCUGCAGGGAAAAACUUCACUGGGUUGGGAGCAGGUAGUGAGCAAGUGCAUCCUCCUGGGUGCCAUCCUGGUCACACUGGGGCUCAGGUGGGAUUUCUGCAGGGUCCAGAGAAAAUCCACACACCACAGGUGUGAGAGAAGCUGCUGCCUGCUGGGAGGUUAUUCUUGCCCAAGUGGAAACGAGCUGUGUUUGCUGCAAGCACUUUUACACUGGUGAAGUAACUGUGAAGGAGCAGCAGCUGCUGUUUCAACCAUUCCAGCAAGUGUGGAGUGCCAGAGAGUUUCUGGAUGGAGGAACCAGCAGAGUCUUCCUUCCUGCCAAGGCCACACUGGUUUGAAGAGCAGUGCAAAGGCAGCUGCUGAAGUUGGGGUUUACAGAACAGCAGGGCCAGAAGGAGGAGAGGACCCUGGAUGGGGCACGGGGUGAUCCAGGCUGUCCCUGGGUUCUUGGGAGGUCUGGAGUGGGGAAUUCCCAGGUCCUUGUCUUGCUGCAGUGUCUAGAGAGCCUGGGUUCUUGGGGCAGGUUCCCUGCACCCCCUUGCUUUCCAGACUUCUACCUGGUGCCAGCUGAGUCUGACAGUCUGAAUUCAAAUCUGAAGCACACCAGGAAAACACGAGACAUGUCAGACAACCCAAUGCAAGUCCAUCAGACAGAGAGCUGAGAAAAAGAUGGGGCCCUCAUAAAAAAAAAGCACUAGCUGUGUCUGGCUCUCCUUUGUUAAUCUUAUUGACAGGCAAUGAAAUUCACAAUUUCCACCUGUUUUUUCCCCACUUUGAAACAGAAAACAAAAACUAAAGUAGUUUAUUUUCUCAUCCCUUACAUCUUCUAACCACAUCUUCUAACCCUGAGGACCUAGCCCCAAGGUACUGUUUCAGUGCAGUAUUUUUUGCUCCAUACUAUUCCACUGAACCUGAAUUUCCUGUAUUUCCAUACCACAUGGAGAAGGCUAAGUUUAGCUCUUGCACAUUUUAGGUAUCUAUCAAGACAAAACUUGGACUGCAAGGAGUCUCUGGCAUGCUCAGCCAUACUGAACGUGCACAGCGACACAAACAUUUCCUCUCCUUACUCUGUCCCUGAAUAAAUCACUUCAGCAUUAUUAAUUUCA
Molecule: long non-coding RNA, 1203 nt
Organism: Junco hyemalis (dark-eyed junco)
Lineage: Eukaryota; Metazoa; Chordata; Aves; Passeriformes; Passerellidae
Source: Ensembl